This 777-nucleotide ribosomal RNA is filed under the name uncultured bacterium. Its description in RNAcentral is "bacterial SSU rRNA". It matches the Rfam family "Bacterial small subunit ribosomal RNA", at positions 9 to 788 of the family's 1533-position model. The record is from RNAcentral.
GAGUUUGAUCCUGGCUCAGGAUGAACGCUAGCGGGAGGCUUAACACAUGCAAGUCGAGGGGCAGCAUUUCCUUCGGGAAGAUGGCGACCGGCGCACGGGUGCGUAACGCGUAUGCAACCUGCCUUGUACAGGGGGAUAGCCCAUGGAAACGUGGAUUAAUACCCCAUUGUACUGUCAUUUCGCAUGUUAUGACAGUUAAAACUUCGGUGGUACAAGAUGGGCAUGCGUAGGAUUAGCUAGUAGGUAGUGUAACGGACUACCUAGGCGAUGAUCCUUAGGGGUCCUGAGAGGGUUACCCCCCACACUGGAACUGAGACACGGUCCAGACUCCUACGGGAGGCAGCAGUGAGGAAUAUUGGUCAAUGGGCGAGAGCCUGAACCAGCCAUCCCGCGUGCAGGAUGACGGCCCUACGGGUUGUAAACUGCUUUUCCGCGCCAAGAAUGGUUCCGACGUGUCGGGAUUUGACGGUAGCGCGGGAAUAAGCACCGGCUAACUCCGUGCCAGCAGCCGCGGUAAUACGGAGGGUGCAAGCGUUAUCCGGAUUUAUUGGGUUUAAAGGGUGCGCAGGUGGGAAUGUAAGUCAGUGGUGAAAUUCUGCCGCUCAACGGUAGGACUGCCAUUGAUACUGCGUUUCUUGAGUAUGGUUGAGGUAGCGGAAUGUGUCGUGUACGGUGAAUGCAUAGAUAUGACACGGAACGCCGAUUGCGAAGCAGCUUACUAAGCCAUUACUGACACUGAGGCACGAAAGCGUGGGUAGCGAACAGGAUAGAUACCCU